UAAAAAAAAAAUCAGAAAAAUAUAAACUUAACCCUAUUUUCUUUUUUAUUUUUUCUCUUUCUUCCCGAGACUCCUCCUCGUGCCUCUCUCCCAUUGCAGGUUCUUCAAUGGCGAGGACUCAGCCCGAUGCUGCCGCUUAGCCCGAAGCCCACUCCUUAUCGCGCUGUCGCCGGACCUCGUCGAUGACACCAACAGCCUCGGCGACUGAUUCGUGCAUGGAUGGCAGAUCCAAAGCCGCAUCCCCAACGCCAGACGCACCACCCUCACUGCCCAUAAAGCAACCUAAGACCACAACAUUGGUCUUGGAGGCUUCAGAGGACAGCAGCGAGAAUACAACCUCGACUGCUAGUGAUAAAAGACCAACGGGUCAGGAGGCAGAAGCCACCAGUGAGGAGACUCAGGUUGAUUCUCCUCCAAAGAAAAACUAGAAAAAGUGAAUGCCCAGGAUAGCUGAUAGAAAGGCCAGAUAUCUACCCGCGAAGCAUGACCUGCACGACAACUUUAACUUUGAAGGCGACGAUGAGGUCAGAGGACAAGUCAGCCCCAGCUUCCUUAGCAGCACCUCUAGAACCUAGUGAUCAAGCCGCCUAGCUAGAAUUGAAGUGAAAAUGCACCACAUUGAUGCAAAAUUGGACGCCAUUUUCUCUCAUUUGGGGUUACCCAUACCCCAACCACCACCAGCCUGAGUUUUUAAUGACUUACUCUUCAGGGAAGUUCUCUUUGACUCACUUUUGCUAAUUUAUUUGUAAACUUCCCCCGUUGCUUGAAUUUUUCCACAUUGAGUACAAUGUGAGGAGUAAGUUUGGGGGGGGGGGAGGGGGAGAAGUAAUUGGGAUAGAAGUGAUUUUUUUGAUUGGUUGAUGGGUUGAUGUACAUAUUUUUCUGUGUUUAGAAAAUUUUUCUUCUAUUAUGCUGUUUUUGCACAAUUUUUCUAUUGAUUGCUAGAGGUUUGCCCAAGCCUGUAAGACUUUUUCUGAUUCUCGGCAGUUUCUCAACACUUGCACUUGC
Molecule: long non-coding RNA, 1008 nt
Organism: Manihot esculenta (cassava)
Lineage: Eukaryota; Viridiplantae; Streptophyta; Magnoliopsida; Malpighiales; Euphorbiaceae
Exons: 2
Source: RefSeq, a predicted model, not a curated record